UCAGUGGUGGAGAGCCAGACGCCCCAGCGCGGCGAGGGCGUGGCCGGGGCGGGGCGGGGCCUGGAUUCAGGUUAGGCGCUCCCGGUGACUAGCGCCGUGGAGCGGGAGGGAAAGUGCUUGAGGCUGGCGAGCCGCGUGGGGAGGGUCCCCGCGCUCGAGGCGGCGGGGCUGGCGGGAGCGAUCUGGGAGAGGCUCAGGCAUAGGUCACAGGCAGGGAAGAGCUCCUGCCCUUGAGCGAGAGGCCGGCUGGCUGGAGUCCUCACUGAGAAACUGGUGAAGCUAUUAAAACACCAGCCUUCCACAGAUACAAAGCUAGUUUGGAAGACACGCCUCAGAUCUGCAAUAAAGAGGGAAAUACUGAUCCACCCCUAAAUCAGACCAGCAUCUCUCUCAACCGCUGACCAGACGGACAGCUGCAGCCUCCAGGCCACAGAGCUGCCCCACCAAGCACCAUGCAGCCAAGUGCCAAUGAAAAGAUACCCACCAGCCUGCGGACCCCAGAAAGUGUACUCAGAGGAGCCUGAGCAUACGUUACCUGUCUGUUCUCCCAAAUUCACCAAACCAUACUUUGCUGGGAGUAGAAAACAGGUUGGAAGUUUUCUCCAGGGAUAUCCCUCCACGUGGAAACACAAAGAGCGGGAAUUAGGGCGCCAGCAUAUAGCAUGGACAUCUCAGACCCUGAGUCUGGCAAAGCCAAGGGAUGGAAGUGGUUUCACUUGGAGCACACUUGGCAUUUUACUGUACUGGACUUCUUAUGAGCAAAAUAACAAUUUAAAAAAAAAAAUCUUGGAAAGAAAAAAAGUGUAAAAAUCCAUCUGAAAAUUCACAGAUAGACUUUCUAGAGACAGCCAUGAGAAAAAAAUGUUUCUCUCUACUUGCACCCUACGAAUUCCAGCCUAUUCAAUAAAUUGGAUAAAGAAGA
This is a long non-coding RNA of Suricata suricatta (meerkat), 922 nucleotides long. RefSeq lists it as uncharacterized. The transcript is spliced from 2 exons. The record is from RefSeq and is a predicted model, not a curated record. NCBI's taxonomy places the organism in Eukaryota, Metazoa, Chordata, Mammalia, Carnivora, Herpestidae.